UACGAAGGGUGCAAGCGUUACUCGGAAUUACUGGGCGUAAAGCGUGCGCAGGCGGUUCGCUAAGACAGAUGUGAAAUCCCCGGGCUUAACCUCGGGAACUGCAUUUGUGACUGGCGGGCUAGAGUAUGGCAGAGGGGGUAGGAAUUCCACGGUGUAGCAGUGAAAUGCGUAGAGAUGUGGAGGAAUACCGAUGGCGAAGGCAGCCCCCUGGGCCAAUACU
This 220-nucleotide ribosomal RNA is filed under the name uncultured bacterium. RNAcentral describes it as "partial 16S ribosomal RNA". It matches the Rfam family "Bacterial small subunit ribosomal RNA", at positions 524 to 741 of the family's 1533-position model. The record is from RNAcentral.